CCUGUCGAACUCCUCUCAGCUUUUUGGGUCUUUUAUAUCACAAGUACUCUCACUAGAGUUAAAGCAACGCCAGCUUUAUUAAAGUUGCCUUCAAACACAUGUCCCCAAACUAAUCCCCACCCCUCAGCCUGCUGACUCCAGCAGACAUUAAUGUUCUUAAUGCACAUUCUCAAACUGUUAAUC
Molecule: long non-coding RNA, 183 nt
Organism: Thalassophryne amazonica
Lineage: Eukaryota; Metazoa; Chordata; Actinopteri; Batrachoidiformes; Batrachoididae
Exons: 3
Source: RefSeq, a predicted model, not a curated record